This 556-nucleotide ribosomal RNA is filed under the name uncultured euryarchaeote. Its description in RNAcentral is "bacterial SSU rRNA". It matches the Rfam family "Archaeal small subunit ribosomal RNA", at positions 324 to 879 of the family's 1478-position model. The record is from RNAcentral. Lineage: Archaea; Methanobacteriati; Methanobacteriota.
UAUGGGGUGCAGCAGGCGCGAAACCUUUACACUGCACGACAGUGCGAUAAGGGGACCCCAAGUGCGAGGGCAUAUAGUCCUCGCUUUUGUGUACCGUAGGGCGGUACACGAAUAAGAGCUGGGCAAGACCGGUGCCAGCCGCCGCGGUAAUACCGGCAGCCCGAGUGAUAGCCAAUUUUAUUGGGCCUAAAGCGUCCGUAGCUGGCCGAACAGGUCCGUCGGGAAAUCCACCCGCUUAACGGGUGGGCGUCCGGCGGAAACCAGUCGGCUUGGGGCCGAGAGACCAAAGGGGUACGUCCGGGGUAGGAGUGAAAUCCCGUAAUCCUGGACGGACCACCGGUUGCGAAAGCGCCUUUGGAGAACGGACCCGACAGUGAGGGACGAAAGCUAGGGUCUCGAACCGGAUUAGAUACCCGGGUAGUCCUAGCCGUAAACGAUGCUCGCUAGGUGUGACGCAGGCUACGAGCCUGCGUUGCGCCGUAGGGAAGCCGAGAAGCGAGCCGCCUGGGAAGUACGUCCGCAAGGAUGAAACUUAAAGGAAUUGGCGGGGGAGCAC